RNAcentral lists this long non-coding RNA (245 nucleotides) under Elaeis guineensis (African oil palm). RNAcentral's name for it is "long non-coding RNA (EGUI_LNC020534)". The record is from RNAcentral. Lineage: Eukaryota; Viridiplantae; Streptophyta; Magnoliopsida; Arecales; Arecaceae.
CUUCCCUCCCUCCUUCCUGGUGCUCUCUCUCUCUCUCUCUCUCUCUCUAAUUUGUAAGCUAUAAGGUUGUAGUCUUAUUUUUCUUUUUUUGCUUAUGACUUAUAUGCUAUGAAUUUGUGAUAUAAUUUUAGUGAUUAUGGAAAGAAAAAGUAUUUCAAAUUGAUUUUUGAAAAAAAAUCUGUUAUUGUAACUCAAACCUGGAGCUCUCCAAUGAAGGAAAAAGCUUUCCGACAUAUUUCAGGUAG